RNAcentral lists this ribosomal RNA (497 nucleotides) under uncultured bacterium. Its description in RNAcentral is "partial 16S ribosomal RNA". It matches the Rfam family "Bacterial small subunit ribosomal RNA", at positions 28 to 507 of the family's 1533-position model. The record is from RNAcentral.
GACGAACGCUGGCGGCGUGCCUAAUACAUGCAAGUUGAGCGAUGAAGAUUGGUGCUUGCACCAAUUUGAAGAGCAGCGAACGGGUGAGUAACGCGUGGGGAAUCUGCCUUUGAGCGGGGGACAACAUUUGGAAACGAAUGCUAAUACCGCAUAACAACUUUAAACAUAAGUUUUAAGUUUGAAAGAUGCAAUUGCAUCACUCAAAGAUGAUCCCGCGUUGUAUUAGCUAGUUGGUGAGGUAAAGGCUCACCAAGGCGAUGAUACAUAGCCGACCUGAGAGGGUGAUCGGCCACAUUGGGACUGAGACACGGCCCAAACUCCUGCGGGAGGCAGCAGGAGGGAAUCUUGGGCAAUGGACGAAAGUCUGACCGAGCAACGCCGCGUGAGUGAAGAAGGGUGUCGUAUCGUAAAACUCGGUUGGUAGAGAAGAACGUUGGUGAGAGUGGAAAGCUCAUCAAGUGACGGUAACUACCCAGAAAGGGACGGCUAACUACGUG